GUGGGGAAUCUUGCGCAAUGGGCGAAAGCCUGACGCAGCCAUGCCGCGUGAAUGAUGAAGGUCUUAGGAUUGUAAAAUUCUUUCACCGGGGACGAUAAUGACGGUACCCGGAGAAGAAGCCCCGGCUAACUUCGUGCCAGCAGCCGCGGUAAUACGAAGGGGGCUAGCGUUGCUCGGAAUUACUGGGCGUAAAGGGCGCGUAGGCGGAUCGUUAAGUCAGGGGUGAAAUCCCAGAGCUCAACUCUGGAACUGCCCUUGAUACUGGCGAUCUUGAGUGUGAGAGAGGUAUGUGGAACUCCGAGUGUAGAGGUGAAAUUCGUAGAUAUUCGGAAGAACACCAGUGGCGAAGGCGACAUACUGGCUCAUUACUGACGCUGAGGCGCGAAAGCGUGGGGAGCAAACAGGAUUAGAAACCCCUGUAGUCC
This 425-nucleotide ribosomal RNA is filed under the name uncultured bacterium. RNAcentral describes it as "partial 16S ribosomal RNA". It matches the Rfam family "Bacterial small subunit ribosomal RNA", at positions 354 to 796 of the family's 1533-position model. The record is from RNAcentral.